Molecule: ribosomal RNA, 93 nt
Filed under: uncultured Alicyclobacillus sp.
Lineage: Bacteria; Bacillati; Bacillota; Bacilli; Caryophanales; Alicyclobacillaceae
Description: partial 16S ribosomal RNA
Rfam family: Bacterial small subunit ribosomal RNA
Source: RNAcentral
UAAGGAAUUUUCCGCAAUGGGCGCAAGCCUGACGGAGCAACGCCGCGUGGGCGAAGAAGGCCUUCGGGUUGUAAAGCCCUUUUCGGUGGAAAG